This 157-nucleotide ribosomal RNA is filed under the name uncultured Pezizales. RNAcentral describes it as "5.8S ribosomal RNA". It matches the Rfam family "5.8S ribosomal RNA". Rfam says of the family: 5.8S ribosomal RNA (5.8S rRNA) is a component of the large subunit of the eukaryotic ribosome. The record is from RNAcentral. Lineage: Eukaryota; Fungi; Ascomycota; Pezizomycetes; Pezizales.
AAACUUUCAACAACGGAUCUCUAGGCUCUUGCAUCGAUGAAGAACGCAGUGAAAUGCGAUAAGUAAUGUGAAUUGCAGAAUCUCGUGAAUCAUCGAAUCUUUGAACGCACAUUGCGCCCUGUGGUAUUCCACAGGGCAUGCCUGUCUGAGCGUCAGC